This 428-nucleotide ribosomal RNA is filed under the name Verrucomicrobiota bacterium. Its description in RNAcentral is "Verrucomicrobia bacterium partial 16S ribosomal RNA". It matches the Rfam family "Bacterial small subunit ribosomal RNA", at positions 355 to 775 of the family's 1533-position model. Lineage: Bacteria; Pseudomonadati; Verrucomicrobiota. The record is from RNAcentral.
UAGGGAAUCUUCCGCAAUGGACGAAAGUCUGACGGAGCAACGCCGCGUGAGUGAAGAAGGAUUUCGGUUCGUAAAACUCUGUUGUUAGGGAAGAAAAAAUGUAUAGUAACUAUAUACAAAAGAGACGGUACCUAACCAGAAAGCCACGGCUAACUACGUGCCAGCAGCCGCGGUAAUACGUAGGUGGCAAGCGUUGUCCGGAAUUAUUGGGCGUAAAGCGCGCGCAGGUGGUUUAGAAAGUCUGAUGUGAAAGCCCACGGCUCAACCGUGGAGGGUCAUUGGAAACUAAUAAACUUGAGUGCAGGAGAGAAAAGUGGAAUUCCUAGUGUAGCGGUGAAAUGCGUAGAGAUUAGGAGGAACACCGGUGGCGAAAGCGGCUUUUUGGCCUGCAACUGACACUGAGGCGCGAAAGCGUGGGGAGCAAACAG